UGCAACCAUUUGCAAUGGGAACAACGUUGCUACAGGGUAGCGAACAGAGUCUUGCGAGAAUUGGUUGAGUCUUUAGCACCUCUAAGCCGCGAGAAUGCAGAAAUUACGAAGAAAACUGGCUGGUCUCUCUUCGGAUGUGUAUUAAAGAGCCUGACUAGUUAAAGGGAACCCUGUACUGCUGUUGCCAAUAUUAACGAGGGAGACUUCAGUUUGCAAAACGCACACCAUCCUGUCUCCCUGGAUGCACCUGUAGCAGAUGGGUUUCCAGUGUGGACUUGAGCCGUCUUACCGCAUCCGGGAUGGAGCUGGUUGAUCAGUUGAUCCGAUUGAAAACGGCAUGGACCUGUUCCACCCCUUGCUCCCCAUGAAAACCCAACCCAACCCCCCAACACCUUAUCCAGGGUAUGACAUGUUCUUCCAAGAGGUGCAUCUUGAUGGAUACAGACGAGGUUAUGCUCAGGUCUGUUUUUGCUGACAGGAGACUGGCUGCUGGAAUGCGGAUCUUGUCCAGCUUGACAGCUUUUAAUGCAGCCUGUAAGUCUUCACGAGGAUACUGUUUGGCCAUCACAGGAGGCAGC
Branchiostoma belcheri (Belcher's lancelet) is the source of this 578-nucleotide long non-coding RNA. RefSeq lists it as uncharacterized. The transcript has 5 exons. Lineage: Eukaryota; Metazoa; Chordata; Leptocardii; Amphioxiformes; Branchiostomatidae. The record is from RefSeq and is a predicted model, not a curated record.